Amphibalanus amphitrite is the source of this 672-nucleotide long non-coding RNA. RefSeq lists it as uncharacterized. The transcript has 2 exons. NCBI's taxonomy places the organism in Eukaryota, Metazoa, Arthropoda, Thecostraca, Balanomorpha, Balanidae. The record is from RefSeq and is a predicted model, not a curated record.
GUUGAACUGUGGUUCCCAUACAGGUGAACGGUUACUGGCGUAAGGUGUGCCAGACUCUGAACGGCGACGGAUCGGCACACUCGGCGGGGCCGGCCCGCUUUGCCAGAGUCUUCUUCGGCCGCUGGAGGAUUCCUUCACAGCUCCCACGUCAGCUGAGGGAGUCCGACCCCUCCCAGCUCAUCUUGCUCCAGUGGUGCUGCCUAGCAGGUCUUACGGGACAUCGUCAGGUAUAGGCCAAGGUGGCCGGGGUUUUGAAAGGUACGUUAUUCCAUGUACGGGGCCCGGAACAUAUCUGUUAAUGGAGGUUCUAGGGGACCCGAUAGGGUGGAUAGUGAACGCUUGGGCAUGGCGAUAUCGGCAUUUUUGAGGGGAUAUCUGGUUCCACCAAUAGGGACAUGAGGGCAAUGCUGGUGGAAAGUAAGAUGCUAAGAUAGUAAUAACAUUGUGAUAAAAUCGUUAGGCGAAGCCCGAAGAGAAAAAAUGAAAUCUUGUCAACUCUAACGUUAGACGUGUUUUCAACAUUGGUUUGCUGCUGCUGCUGCUGCUGCUGCUGCUGAGGGUUUUUAAAUCGUCUGUAACUAUCUUCAAAGCGGUCUAUUUCUUAGCAAAUUAUUUCUACUUGUCGCUAUAGAAUAUGAUAUGACCUUUCUCCUGCAAAACAGCGAAUGAACA